This 69-nucleotide transfer RNA is filed under the name Aequidens metae (yellow acara). RNAcentral describes it as "tRNA-Arg". It matches the Rfam family "tRNA". From Rfam's summary of the family: Transfer RNA (tRNA) molecules are approximately 80 nucleotides in length. Lineage: Eukaryota; Metazoa; Chordata; Actinopteri; Cichliformes; Cichlidae. The record is from RNAcentral.
AAGCUGUUAGUUUAAGAAAAACACUUGAUUUCGGCUCAAGAAUUUAUGGUUAAAGUCCAUAACCGCCUA